GACCGUAUAGGACAUAAUUUACUAAUAUUAAAGCUGUUGGACCUGGGUGUUAGAUCAUCCUUGUUACCUUGGAUUAUCAGCUUCCUAACUAACCGCCGACAUCGGGUCAAACUUGGAAGGGAAACGUCAGACUGGUUGCCAAUGAAUGCGGGUGUCCCCCAGGGAACUAAACUCGGUCCAAUUUUGUUUUUGGCGAUGAUAAAUGACCUCGAUGUGCGAACACA
This is a non-coding RNA of Paramuricea clavata, 224 nucleotides long. The record is from the annotation of a GenBank genome assembly. Lineage: Eukaryota; Metazoa; Cnidaria; Anthozoa; Malacalcyonacea; Plexauridae.